Molecule: small RNA, 717 nt
Filed under: Racomitrium obesum
Lineage: Eukaryota; Viridiplantae; Streptophyta; Bryopsida; Grimmiales; Grimmiaceae
Description: eukaryotic LSU rRNA
Rfam family: 5.8S ribosomal RNA (bases 280-432)
Source: RNAcentral
CAUUGCACACACAGAGUUGCAGCGAACCCCCUUGCGAAUGGUGAGAUUGUCUCGGUCGGUCCUCCCUCGGCUGCUGCUUUCGUGGCUCUCUGGCCAGCCCAAGUUCACGCCCCCGGGCCGGACUCCCGUGUUCGGUUUGGCUGGCCUGGUCGGUUGGGACUUGGUGAUGGCGCGAUGCAUCACAAACAAUAUGAUGACUGAGUAUAAAACAAAACUGGGGCCCCGCUCACAUGCGUGUGCGUGUGUGUGCAGGUGCGGAGUUGUGCGAUCAAAUGAAACAACUCUCAGCAACGGAUAUCUUGGCUCCUGCAACGAUGAAGAACGCAGCGAAAUGCGAUACGUAGUGUGAAUUGCAGAAUUCCGCGAAUCAUCGAGUCUUUGAACGCAAGUUGCGCCCGAGGCUUGCCCUCUGGCAUUUCUACCAGAGCGUCACCGCGACACCCACCGACCACUCUCCUUGUGCGCGUGGGGGUUGAGUGAAAGUGGCCGUCCCGGCGGAUGGGGGCUGGGUCGAGGCCCCGCCUCCAAUGGCCGGGUUGGCUGAAAUGGAGGGAAUUUGGCCGCCGUGGUGUGACACAGCCGGCGAUCGGGUGAUCCAAGUCCUCUUGGAACUCAAUGUGCGUCGGCCGCGUCCCCCAGUUGGUACCGAGGAUUCCAAAGCAGGUCCUCUCCAGAAACAGAGAGUGCAAAAGGGGGAAAAAACCGUCACGCAUCAGA